AGCGGGAGAGUUCGUGAAGCCCCUCAGGGCCAAUCGGCGCCGAAGGAGCAACCACCCCGGAAACUCUCAGGCCCACGGACCGCAGUGU
Molecule: non-coding RNA, 88 nt
Filed under: uncultured Erythrobacter sp.
Lineage: Bacteria; Pseudomonadati; Pseudomonadota; Alphaproteobacteria; Sphingomonadales; Erythrobacteraceae
Description: Glycine riboswitch
Rfam family: Glycine riboswitch aptamer
About the family: This family represents the bacterial glycine riboswitch. Glycine riboswitches usually consist of two metabolite-binding aptamers domains with similar structures in tandem. The aptamers cooperatively bind glycine to regulate the expression of downstream genes.
Source: RNAcentral